Molecule: ribosomal RNA, 277 nt
Filed under: uncultured prokaryote
Description: partial 16S ribosomal RNA
Rfam family: Bacterial small subunit ribosomal RNA
Source: RNAcentral
CACGUAGGAGGCAAACGUUGUCCGGAUUUAUUGGGCGUAAAGCGCGUGUAGGUGGUUCUGUAAGUAGGGCGUGAAAGCUCCCGGCUCAACUGGGAGAGGCCGUUCUAAACUGCAGAGCUAGAGGAUGGUAGAGGGAGGUGGAAUUCCUGGUGUAGCGGUGAAAUGCGUAGAUAUCAGGAGGAACACCGGCGGCGAAGGCGGCUUGCUGGACGGCAACUGACGUUGAGGCUCGAAAGCGUGGGGAGCAAACAGGAUUAGAUACCCCCGUAGUCCCUGA